This 370-nucleotide long non-coding RNA is filed under the name Physcomitrium patens. Its description in RNAcentral is "long non-coding RNA (PPAT_LNC000718)". Lineage: Eukaryota; Viridiplantae; Streptophyta; Bryopsida; Funariales; Funariaceae. The record is from RNAcentral.
ACAUAGAAAAACAAGUCUAAUAUCCUCUCACACAAGUUUUACUCCAGUCCAACUAGUAGAUUGCAUGAAAUCUUAAAAACCCUCACUAGACCUAAAAUUCUACUUUUUGAGACCUUGACUCACUUAAACCUCAAUAUCUCUUAGUUCAACCGUUAGAUCAAGCUCAAAUUCACAACAUGUAUUCAACACAACUAUAACCAUGAACCCCAAAAAAUUCACCUAUAGAUCUACAACAAAAUUCUCAAAAUCACUCAAAACAUAAAUCCUAUUUUAUUUCAUAAAACCCAAGUCAUCCGAAAAAAAAACUCAACUUUGCAAAGCUCUUACAAAUUCAUAUCAACUCCAAAUCAUCCAGAAUCAAUGCUCAUAG